RNAcentral lists this unclassified non-coding RNA (203 nucleotides) under plant metagenome. RNAcentral's name for it is "partial contains small subunit ribosomal RNA, internal transcribed spacer 1, and 5.8S ribosomal RNA". The record is from RNAcentral.
GUAGGUGAACCUGCGGAAGGAUCAUUAUCGAUUUAGCGAACCGAGCGUUAGCGAGGUUUUGCGAUCACUUAUAUUUAAAACCCACUCUUUGAUGUAUAAAAUUUUUAUAUAAUAAUAAUAAUAAAAAAAAGAUCACUUUCAACAACGGAUCUCUUGGCUCUCGCAUCGAUGAAGAACGCAGCAUCUGACUGACUUCGCUCCCU